Molecule: long non-coding RNA, 927 nt
Organism: Arachis duranensis
Lineage: Eukaryota; Viridiplantae; Streptophyta; Magnoliopsida; Fabales; Fabaceae
Exons: 3
Source: RefSeq, a predicted model, not a curated record
ACCAUUUCCCAACGUCCCAUUCCCAACCCUAGUCUCUCCAAAACAACCCACUUCCAACACUGACUCUCCAAAACGGCAAACACGCGCAGCACUCCCAUCAGGCCAUCACCCUUCCUCUCAUCGUCAUUGAGCUCCUCCUUCACUUCUGUCCCGCCACCGGCAAGCAACCGCCGCCGUUGCAACUUUGAGCUUUGAAGCCACUGUCGCAACGUCGUUCUCCUCCAUCGUGCAGCCACGCUUGAGCUUCAAAACCACCGUCACCGGCCUCGCCUCCUGCCUCCGUCACGCAGCCACUGUCUCGCCGGCGCCAGUUCUGUUCCAUCGCAUCAGCCCUUCGGUCGUUCCCUGUUCCUUUCUUGCUACUGAUCUGCUCUGCUCUGUUCUAGCAUUUAGUUCUAGCAAGCAUCACUGGGAUGCAGAAAAUUUCCGUGCUGAUGACGAUCGUAAUACCGGGGAUCGCAAAAAUGUUUGUUGGUGAAGUUGUUGAAACAGCUAGAAUAGUGAUGCUAGAGAGGAAUCAGGACCAAUUCGUCUAUGUCACUUGAGAGAAGCAUAUAGACGAUUAAAGCUUGAAGGAAGAAUAUUUAAAAGACCAAUGUUGAGGCUCUUCCGGUAAAUUUAUGAAUUGUGAAUGUAGUGGAUGAUGUCACUGGUUUGCAGCAGUGUCUUGUAGGUAGAUUUGGUACUCGCUACUCAGUACCGUCAUGGCCUCAUUCGUGCAUCCUGAUAUUUGUUACUGUUUGUAGGUAAAUUUGGAAUAUUUUCCCAUUCCUUUAUCAAAUAUUAAAUUUGUGAACACAAUAAUUAUAGGCCUCAACGUCUGUUCUAUCUAUGUUGAAGUUGAAAUGCAUAUCUGUGCUGCAAUGACAGAUGUUGUAUAUUGCAUUGCAAAGCUUACUGUGUUAAAUAGAUAGCUAGCUUGAAUAA